RNAcentral lists this ribosomal RNA (327 nucleotides) under uncultured eukaryote. RNAcentral's name for it is "partial 18S ribosomal RNA". It matches the Rfam family "Eukaryotic small subunit ribosomal RNA", at positions 1470 to 1796 of the family's 1831-position model. The record is from RNAcentral.
CCCUUAGAUGUCCUGGGCCGCACGCGCGUUACACUGAUGCACUCAACGAGCAUAUAACCUUGGCCGAGAGGCCUGGGUAAUCUUGUUAACAUGCAUCGUGAUAGGGAUAGAUUAUUGCAAUUUUUAAUCUUGAACGAGGAAUUCCUAGUAAUCGCGGUUCAUCAAACCGCAAUGAUUACGUCCCUGCCCUUUGUACACACCGCCCGUCGCACCUACCGAUUGAAUGGUCCGGUGAGGACUCGGGAUUGUGGUUUGGCUCCUUCAUUGGGGCCUGACCGCGAGAACUUGUCCGAACCUUAUCAUUUAGAGGAAGGUGAAGUCGUAACA